GCGCAUGUGGCCCAGAGGUAGGGCGCCGGAUCAAAAGGUCCGGAAGUCGCGGGUUCGAUUCCUGUCAUGUGCUCCA
RNAcentral lists this transfer RNA (76 nucleotides) under Devosia insulae DS-56. Its description in RNAcentral is "tRNA-OTHER". It matches the Rfam family "tRNA". Rfam says of the family: Transfer RNA (tRNA) molecules are approximately 80 nucleotides in length. Their secondary structure includes four short double-helical elements and three loops (D, anti-codon, and T loops). Lineage: Bacteria; Pseudomonadati; Pseudomonadota; Alphaproteobacteria; Hyphomicrobiales; Devosiaceae. The record is from RNAcentral.